GGUCAAGCGAUGAAGCGCAUAUGGUGGAUGCCUAGGCAGCCAGAGGCGAUGAAAGACGUGGAAGCCUGCGAUAAGGCUCGGCGAGGUGGCAAACAACCUGUGACCCGGGCAUCUCUGAAUGGGGAAACCCACCCACGGUAACGUGGUAUCCUGCACUGAAUAUAUAGGUGUCAGGAGGCGAACCGGGGGAACUGAAACAUCUCAGUACCCCGAGGAAAAGAAAUCAACCGAGAUUCCCCCAGUAGCGGCGAGCGAACGGGGACUAGCCCUUAAGCGGCACGACUGAUAGGCGAACGAGCUGGGAAGCUCGACCAUAGCGGGUGAUAGUCCCGUAGCCGAAAUCUGAGUGUCGUGAAAUCGAGUAGGUCGGGGCACGAGAAACCUUGACUGAAGACGGGGGGACCAUCCUCCAAGGCUAAAUACU
Molecule: ribosomal RNA, 424 nt
Filed under: Halomonas sp. SA-Hm2
Lineage: Bacteria; Pseudomonadati; Pseudomonadota; Gammaproteobacteria; Oceanospirillales; Halomonadaceae
Description: bacterial LSU rRNA
Rfam family: Bacterial large subunit ribosomal RNA
Source: RNAcentral